RNAcentral lists this ribosomal RNA (300 nucleotides) under uncultured Lactobacillus sp. RNAcentral's name for it is "bacterial SSU rRNA". It matches the Rfam family "Bacterial small subunit ribosomal RNA", at positions 496 to 795 of the family's 1533-position model. The record is from RNAcentral. Lineage: Bacteria; Bacillati; Bacillota; Bacilli; Lactobacillales; Lactobacillaceae.
GCUAACUACGUGCCAGCAGGCGCGGUAAUACGUAGGUGGCAAGCGUUACUCGGAAGCACUAGGCGUAAAGCGCAGGUAGGCGGUUUGAUAAGUCUUUUGUGAAAGCUCCCGGCUUAACUGGGAGAGGCCAAAGGAAACUGUCAGGCUAGAGUGUGGCAGAGGAAGCUAGAAUUCCCGGUGUAGCGGUGAAAUGCGUAGAUAUCGGGAGGAAUACCUAUGGCGAAAGCAGGCUUCUGGGCUAUCACUGACGCUGAUCUGCGAAAGCUAGGGGAGCAAACAGGAUUAGAUACCCUAGUAGUC